This is a long non-coding RNA of Phyllopteryx taeniolatus (common seadragon), 1850 nucleotides long. RefSeq lists it as uncharacterized. The record is from RefSeq and is a predicted model, not a curated record. NCBI's taxonomy places the organism in Eukaryota, Metazoa, Chordata, Actinopteri, Syngnathiformes, Syngnathidae. The transcript has 4 exons.
UUGCACUGUGAAAGGACAGCGGGUAGCUGUGCUAGCUACCCAGCCGCAGCUUGUAGCUAGCUGGUGUGGCGCAAAAUAGCAUAGCGUAGGUAGGAUGUUGACUGUUUGCCGUUCAUUCACAGUUGUUAUGGUUCUGGCCAAGUUUAUCGCAUCUACUGUAUAUACAGGGCAGCCCUAGUAUACAGGCAAGUCUUAAUUUAGAGUUGCGCGCCUUCAGUCUCGUGCCACGUUGUGACGCAACAUGCCGGGGCAGCGUGAAGUUCUACUGAAAGAGACGAAGCGUAAAUAAGAGUAAGAAGAACUGUACUCCAGCAAUUUUCAUUGUUCCCACAGCGCAGAGAGAAUAUACAGUAUGCUUGAGUAUCGUUGUACAUUCUGUUUGUAUUUGUUGCUGCUCCAUAUGUCAAAAUAGCUCAGUUGUUUGAAGGUUAAUUACAGUACGUAACAUUUCUUCUAAUUUCUGGUCGGCCAUCUGUGGUAUUUCACAUUAUGUUUGCAUUAAGCUAGAGGACUUUUGUUAGACACACACACAAAAAAAGAUUUUGGUGUUCAAAUAUGCAAUGUACAUUUUUUCAGUUUUGUGUCAGUUUUACAGUAACCUUCAACUGGCAGUUACAAAUACACAGCUUCAAGCAAGCGUGCAUUAUUUGGAGAGCUGUGAGAAAGUGAGAACGGGUGCAAAAGAAAUACUUACAACAAUGCGUUUUAAUGCGUUUGAAUUGGUUUUAAUCAGUUCAAAUGUGCUUAACGUGUGAGUGGGGGGGGGGGGGGGGGGGGUUGACAGCUGUAAUUAACAAAAACAAUUUUUUUUGCAUGGUUUCUCUAUAUCACAGAUGUUUACCUACUGCUGGUGGCUCUCGGCGGUUGACUGUACAUUCCUACCGAUUUCUAAUUGACUCUUGAAGAUGACUGUACUGCAUGGAGUCCAGUGUCAGCAGCCAGGCCUAAGUGUGAGGCUGCACUGAGGCCCUCACACUCGGAUACUGCGGUUCAUGAAUUAGCAUCUCCAGCAACAAUGAGCUCAAUGAAACGAUGCAAACCCAAAAGACAUCCUGGAUGGAACUCACCGAUACCCCGUAUGGAACAUGUACAUCCUCGGUCCGCCGUUCGGUCCAUAUCUGGGGGUUCCGAGGAGGAAGUCCUUCUUUAUGGACACGUAGCUGAUGAGGGACAAGAUGAGCAGCGCCACGCUGAACAUGACGAGCCCCAGGGCGCUGGCGAUGCGCACCAUCCUGCCUCGGCGUCAGUGGGCGGCCGAGCCCGGCACGAGGUUGCGGGACGACGGCGGAGGAGGAGUCGUUGACACCAAGUGCAUAGCCGAGGCAACCUUUCAUUGUUCAGCCGUGGCCCAAUGGUUAAGAUCAUCGCCUGCCACCGUGGGGGACCUAGGUUCAAAACCCCGACGGGACCAUCCGCCAACAUCCUCCGGACUCACGGCUGUGGUGUCCUUGAGCAAGACACCGAUACCCCGAAAUGCUCCCCGGGCGCUUCAGCUGCCCCCUGCUCCAGUGUGUUCCACUAACAUGUGAAAUGCCACAGAAUCUAUAUAAGAACAGCAGCUCCAUGUACCGUGAAUUCUGCUGCUAAAAAUGCUGGCGGAUGUUUGAGCUGUCAGUCAUGUGGAUGCACCCUCGGGAAGUCAGCCCUCAUGCUCUAUUUGAUUCCAUUGCCCCGUUCCCAUGCCCUCUCUCACUGAAAGGGAAUUAGUGAAUAAACACACACACACAGCAGUUUGUUUGUUGGAAGGUUGCAACUGUUAUAGAAGUGUACAAAAAUAGGCAAACAAAAUUGUACAAAUAAAUCUCCGGUAAUAAAUCAGAGAUUUAGUUCAAUCACUUCCCUUUAUAGGA